RNAcentral lists this ribosomal RNA (468 nucleotides) under uncultured bacterium. Its description in RNAcentral is "partial 16S ribosomal RNA". It matches the Rfam family "Bacterial small subunit ribosomal RNA", at positions 28 to 507 of the family's 1533-position model. The record is from RNAcentral.
GACGAACGCUGGCGGCGUGCUUAACACAUGCAAGUCGAACGGAAAGGCCCUGCUUUUGUGGGGUGCUCGAGUGGCGAACGGGUGAGUAACACGUGAGUAACCUGCCCUUGCCUUUGGGAUAACUUCAGGAAACUGGGGCUAAUACCGGAUAGGAGCUCCUGCUGCAUGGUGGGGGUUGGAAAGUUUCGGCGGUUUGGGAUGGACUCGCGGCAUAUCAGCUUGUUGGUGGGGUAGUGGCUUACCAAGGCGUUGACGAGUAGCCGGCCUGAGAGGGUGACCGGCCACAUUGGGACUGAGAUACGGCCCAGACUCCUACGGGAGGAAGCAGUGGGGAAUAUUGCACAAUGGGCGGAAGCCUGAUGCAGCAACGCCGCGUGCGGGAUGACGGCCUUCGGGUUGUAAACCGCUUUCGCCUGUGACGAAGCGUGAGUGACGGUAAUGGGUAAAGAAGCACCGGCUAACUACGUG